Molecule: ribosomal RNA, 440 nt
Filed under: uncultured bacterium
Lineage: Bacteria
Description: partial 16S ribosomal RNA
Rfam family: Bacterial small subunit ribosomal RNA
Source: RNAcentral
CCUACGGGAGGCUGCAGUGGGGAAUAUUGCACAAUGGGGGAAACCCUGAUGCAGCGACGCCGCGUGAGUGAAGAAGUAUCUCGGUACGUAAAGCUCUAUCAGCAGGGAAGAAAAUGACGGUACCUGACUAAGAAGCCCAGGCUAAAUACGUGCCAGCAGCCGCGGUAAUAAGUAGGGGGCAAGCGUUAUCCGGAUUUACUGGGUGUAAAGGGAGCGUAGACGGCAGCACAAGUCUGGAGUUAAAUCCCGGGGCUUAACCCCGGAACUGCCGUGGAAACUGUGCGGCUGGAGUGCAGGAGGGGUAAGCGGAAUUCGUGGUGUAGCGGUGAAAUGCGUAGAUAUUAGGAGGAACACCGGUGGCGAAGGCGGCUUACUGGACUGUAACUGACGUUGAGGCUCGAAAGCGUGGGGAGCGAACAGGAUUAGAUACCCCAGUAGUC